Molecule: ribosomal RNA, 242 nt
Filed under: Escherichia coli
Lineage: Bacteria; Pseudomonadati; Pseudomonadota; Gammaproteobacteria; Enterobacterales; Enterobacteriaceae
Description: partial 16S ribosomal RNA
Rfam family: Bacterial small subunit ribosomal RNA
Source: RNAcentral
AAAUUGAAGAGUUUGAUCAUGGCUCAGAUUGAACGCUGGCGGCAGGCCUAACACAUGCAAGUCGAACGGUAACAGGAAGCAGCUUGCUGCUUUGCUGACGAGUGGCGGACGGGUGAGUAAUGUCUGGGAAACUGCCAGAGGGGGGGGGAUAACUAGUGGAAACGGUAGCUAAUACCGCAUAACGUCGUAAGACCAAAGAGGGGGACCUUCGGGCCUACUGCCAUCGGCUGUGCCCAGAUGGG